This 523-nucleotide ribosomal RNA is filed under the name uncultured bacterium. RNAcentral's name for it is "bacterial SSU rRNA". It matches the Rfam family "Bacterial small subunit ribosomal RNA", at positions 774 to 1296 of the family's 1533-position model. The record is from RNAcentral.
AGUAAAUAGAUACCUGGUAGUCCACGCCGUAAACGAUGUCGACUUGGAGGUUGUGCCCUUGAGGCGUGGCUUCCGGAGCUAAACGCGUUAAGUCGACCGCCUGGGGAGUACGGCCGCAAGGUUAAAACUCAAAUGAAUUGACGGGGGCCCGCACAAGCGGUGGAGCAUGUGGUUUAAUUCGAUGCAACGCGAAGAACCUUACCUACUCUUGACAUCCAGAGAACUUAGCAGAGAUGCUUUGGUGCCUUCGGGAACUCUGAGACAGGUGCUGCAUGGCUGUCGUCAGCUCGUGUUGUGAAAUGUUGGGUUAAGUCCCGCAACGAGCGCAACCCUUAUCCUUUGUUGCCAGCGGUCCGGCCGGGAACUCAAAGGAGACUGCCAGUGAUAAACUGGAGGAAGGUGGGGAUGACGUCAAGUCAUCAUGGCCCUUACGAGUAGGGCUACACACGUGCUACAAUGGCGCAUACAAAGAGAAGCGACCUCGCGAGAGCAAGCGGACCUCAUAAAGUGCGUCGUAGUCCGG